UGGGGAAUUUUGGACAAUGGGGGCAACCCUGAUCCAGCCAUUCCGCGUGAGUGAAGAAGGCCUUCGGGUUGUAAAGCUCUUUUGUCCGGAACGAAACGGUUGGCGUGAAUAUCGCCGACUACUGACGGUACCGGAAGAAUAAGCACCGGCUAACUACGUGCCAGCAGCCGCGGUAAUACGUAGGGUGCGAGCGUUAAUCGGAAUUACUGGGCGUAAAGCGUGCGCAGGCGGUUUUGUAAGCCAGAUGUGAAAUCCCCGGGCUCAACCUGGGAAUGGCAUUUGGGACUGCAAGGCUGGAGUUUGGCAGAGGAGACUGGAAUUCCCGGUGUAGCAGUGAAAUGCGUAGAUAUCGGGAGGAAUACCGAUGGCGAAGGCAGGUCUCUGGGCUAUAACUGACGCUCAUGCACGAAAGCGUGGGGAGCAAACAGGAUUAGAUACCCUGGUAGUCCACGCCCUAAACGAUGUCGACUGGUUGUUGGGGGUUUGACACUCUCAGUAACGAAGCUAACGCG
RNAcentral lists this ribosomal RNA (512 nucleotides) under uncultured Pseudomonadota bacterium. RNAcentral's name for it is "bacterial SSU rRNA". It matches the Rfam family "Bacterial small subunit ribosomal RNA", at positions 355 to 859 of the family's 1533-position model. Lineage: Bacteria; Pseudomonadati; Pseudomonadota. The record is from RNAcentral.